GGUGUUUUGUAUAUCCCCCUACUAUACAUAGCUAGCUAGUUGUGUAAGUUGAUGGGAUUAAUCAGGGAUCAAGCUGCGGCAAUCAUACGUUCUACUCGGGGGUUGUUAUUGGAGCUACGGAGGCAUUACUAAGUGGUGUACCAUCAUUAUCAAUAUCAUUAGAUUUGUAAUUUGGUGAUUCUACACAUCUGGUUUCAACUAUGGUAGAGGUGUUAUGUGAACUGGUGUUAUGUGAAUUUGGUGACGCCGUCUAAGUCUUCAAAAGCAAUUGUUGUUGUUGGUGAACCAUCUUUCGGGAAGUCCACUGCACCAAAGUUCAAAGAAAGACCAAAUCCAAUUAAGUCAAAGAAGCGACUUAAAAGUGAUUAUGAAAAAGUUAGAGAAAGGCAGAAAUUCAUUAUAGAACGGAAGAAACAAAAGAGAGAAGAUGAGGAAGCUUUAAAGAAAAAAAGUGCAGCAGGAGAAAUGCAAGAGCAGCAGUAAUGUUCCUGACUUCCAAGGUUCGGCUUCAAUUUGCAUUCUUCUAUUCAUUUCUUGAUACAGUUGGGUUUAUCUUUGUUUAAUGAAUUGUAAUCUUCCUAGUAGCUGUAUGUGAAAUGAUUGCAGUUUUUGGAAUAGAUAAAGGGAAUAAAUUAUAUGGUUUUUUGGUUUUUUGGUUUUCUGGUUUGUAUAUGGUUUCAUUUGAUAAGCUUAUGAGUUAGUAGUGAACAAUGUAUGUUCUAUUAAUGCAGAAUUUGGCCAUAGAAACAUGCUUGAUCUGAUUUAGUACAUCUUUUUCAUUCCAAUU
Molecule: long non-coding RNA, 787 nt
Organism: Trifolium pratense (red clover)
Lineage: Eukaryota; Viridiplantae; Streptophyta; Magnoliopsida; Fabales; Fabaceae
Exons: 2
Source: RefSeq, a predicted model, not a curated record